AAUUAACAAUUCAUUUAAUUACAGAUGUUAAUUGUUAAUAACAAUUUGUUAUUAAUUAGUUGGUGAUGAUUAUUUUGAUUGUCAGGUUGUGGUUUAUCUCGACUGGAAAUGUACCGCUGGAAGGGUUAGUUAAUCAUGUAAGAAUUAAUUUCGCAGAUUUUGUUUUCUGUCAUUGGGGCGAUUGAAUGUUCGUGUAAUCAUUGGAUUCUCGUUAAUUCUACAGGUUUUGGAUCUCUACUUUGUCUACUUUAAUCAACUCGAAUCCUUGGUAAUCGUCAAAGUGUUUGGUUAAUUGUUUAUGAUCACCAGCAGUCGCAAACGAAGCCGUUGACCUGCUCAAAGAUUUUCACCUGUCCCCUUAAAGAUUUUGUCGAAAGAAGAAAAGAAGAAAAUAAUUCGUAUAAGGUUUCCAAUUUCUUAAAAUACAUAGUGUGUAUGAUGGAGAGUCCAGUCUAACAGCGGUCAACAUUAAAAACCACAACAACAACAACAACAACCCAAUCCAUGGAAGAGAGAGAGAGAAAAAAGGAAGACGAAGGAAGAGGAAAUUAACAAAAAGAAAGAACGAUUUUCUCUUUUUUUCUUCUUUUUCUGUGAAUCAAGUGGAAAAACAAAAUGUCUCGUCUGGACUAAAGACUCGGACACAGUGUUUAAGGUGGAAAAAUGGCAAAAGAGCAACAAGAAAGAAAGAAGAAAAAAAAGAGAAAAGAAAAGUUUACAUUUCUAAAUAGGUAAGAAAAGGUUAGGUCUCGUUGAUUAUUGGGAUUAAGUUACCGAGAAAAGGUGUGUUAUCAAGAAGAAGAAGAAGAAAAAGCAAAAAGAAAAGAAAAUGGACUGACCAAAGAGUUACCUGUUCCUUUGGUGCGUAAAGGCCAAUAUAGUUUAAUGUGUUUUUCUUUCAUCAUUAUUAUCACUUUUCAUCUUUCGUUUGAAUUUCAAGUUGAAUUUUAUCCUUCUUUUUUCUUGGAAUUUGCAGAUCAAACCAACAAGUGAUUAUGGUUACCUUAUUUUUACCUUAAUUCUUUUUUUUCCCUUUCUUUCAUUUUACCUUUUAUUUUUUUAUUCUUUUCUCCUUUCUCGUUACACUGGCCCCUUACAGGUUGCUACGUAUUAUCAACAUGCUACAAACCCCAUUGAGACUUUACCUGGACACACACAAUGGAAACUGAGAGAAAGAGAAACAACAAAAAGAGAAAACAUAAAAAAAAACUCAACGAAUUUAUAACUUUUUCUAUCUAACCACUGGUGACGAUCCCCUUACUUAAUUUACGUAAUUUGUUGAUAAAAUUUUUCGGACGAAAUAUAACAUAUUAACCAUUGGAACUGUUGCUAUAUAAUCAUUGGAAUAAUUAGCUGAUUGAACAUCGCGAUGGUUGUUGGACAAUCAACCAAUUGAUUCUGUCAAGUUGAACAUUUUUCAGUGGACAUUUGAAUUACAUUUCUCUGUGAUUAUGAAAAGUAAUCGCCACCACCAAGUACCCAUACUUAGAGAUAUAAGACAUUCACAGUGGGUAGUAGGCUUGAAGAGAAAAUAUCUUACCACCUCAACGCUUUUAGUGGUCAGCAAAAAAAUGCAUCUCUCACCUUUAACCUCAUAGAGUGAUCUAUGAAAAUUGUCAAAAUGGACAGGUUGACCCAAUCAGAACAUCUCAAAGUGUCUUAAUACAUACACUCUAAUAAUAAGAACUUUUUUUUCUCUCAGAUUCAAACAAUCAAAGUCUCCAUCUUAUCCACAAAUUGACCAACACAUAACAAGGAACCAAAAUCUUGAACCUGUCUACCUGUGAUUCUAACAAUUGAUUCGUUAAAAAAUUUUCUUCUAAUUUUACUUUUCUCUCCUUCUUAUCCAUCAACAAUCUAUAUAGACACCGACCCAUGAGAUCUCAUCAAUUUGGCGAAAAAUCUGUAAGAUUAUUAAGAGAAUUGACUUCUCAAAGUGUAUCUUAAGAAAACACUGACCAAUUCACCUUAUUCACCAUUAAGGAAAUCGCUCUCAAAUAUCUAAUGGUCAAUGGAUUUAAACCAGAACAAUAUAUAUAAAAGUUCAUUGGCAUUAUAAUCAACUAAUCAUCAACAUCUUUACGAGCAAAGUGAAACCAAUUUAAAAGCAACGUUAUAACAACAGUGAGGAUUAAGAUUGAUUAUGACGUUUGGAUUCAAUUCAAAUCAAUUGUCGUUAACUUUUUUCCUCUCUUCUUUUCAUAUCUUCGUGUUAACUAUUAACCUCUAAACAAUUUAAACAAUUUAAGAUAACAAAUUAACGUUUAUCCUAAAUAACAGGUCUCUCUCUCUCUCUCUCUCUUUAUUUGAUUGUCAAUACAAUCAAAUCAAUUGUAUAAAGAGAAAAAAAAAUUCGUUAACUGAUGUGUUUUGAUUAUGAAUCUAAAUGAUUAGUUGAAUCAUUAUAAUCUUCUAGUAAAUGAUCUGUAUUAUUACAGUUAAUCAUUUGAUUUCGUGAUUACAUUGAGAUGGAAGAGAAAAUUUUUUUUUUCUUCUUAAUUUCAACAACGUGCAAACAGAUCUAUCAAUAUCAAUAUAAAUCGUCAACAAUUACAAUGGUCAAAAUGUAUAUAAUUUCUUGACCAGAAGAAAAACGAAAAUCUAAUUUUCUCUUUUUGUUAAAAGUCAUUUAUUUAUAUAAACAAUUGUAAUUGUUACAUAUUUUGAUACAUCUUCAUUAACCUUAUCCUUAUAUUGACAAGUGACCAUUGAGAUAAAUGCAAAACAUUGGUAAACAAGUAAAACCAAAUCAACUCUAAUUGUAACAAGUUAAACUACUUUAAAUAGUAAUUAACUUUUCCACCUUGUUUACCUUUCUAAUAGGUAAAUGUAACAGUGAUGGUCGAUCGUGAUGAGCUAAAAAUGAAAAUAGUAACUAUUAUCUUCGGGAACCGGAAACGAUGUCUAAGGAUCUCACGUAAGGUAGUAAUCAGAAUGAGAAUUCUCAUAAACACUCAAUGGAAAUACAGUUGAUGAUAAAUGGACAAUGACAAUUAACACCUAAUUGGAUUUUGGAUUAUAUUUUUUCUCUACUGAGAAAAACUGACCAUUAACAAUAAGAAAAUGAGAUUGGUCAAAAAGGAGAGAAAAGAAAAAGGAUAAAAAAUGGUUUCGUUAUUAACUGAUUGUCAACAAUCAAUGGAAGAGAAAAUUUAUCUCUGUAAAUGAUAUUGGUAAUUACGAUGAAUAUGUGAAUGAUACAUUCCAAUCCCAAACAAAGGUCAAUUUAUCAACGGGAACAUUUGAUUAACAAUAAGUUAAUUUGAUUACUAUUACAACUUAUGGAUAGACAACAUUAGGAUUGGUCAUUUUUACUAUUGGCUAAUUUGGUUCCGAUUAUUUUUCGCGCAUUUUUAUGAUGAUAAACAACGAUCAAUAAUCAAUUGGAAUCAAAGACCAACAAGAAAAAAAAAUCGUACCAAUGGUCAACUCAUUUGAUUAUCCUUUCCAAUUGAUUGUUUACUUUAAUACAGAUUGGAAAAGUUAAUCUUAAUCAUGUUAAUCUACCGAAUCGAGUAGGAUAGAGACUAACCUAUGAACAAACAUUAACUCAUUGUAAUCACAAUUAACCAACUAUUCAACUGGGUCAACAGUUAAUUGUGUGAAUGAAAAUUUAUACACAUAAAAAUUAACAAUCAAGUUAAUCAUGUUAGUAAAAGAUAGCAAGAAAAACUAACAAUAAUUUGACAAAGAGACAACAAAAAUGCCCUGAGGAAGAGGAAACAAGGAUGAUGAUGAUGAUGAUGAUAAGGAAGACACAGCGGAAAAUAACAUAGGAAAUAACAAAAAGUACAAAAUAUCUGGACAAUGGUCAGUUUUUUGUUUAAAUUAAACACGAAAAAUUAACUAACCAUAAAAAAACUGAAAAGGAAACAAAAAUUUUAGGUCAAAUGAUUAAACCAAAUUACAAUUACAAUUAAACAAAUCUACUGAUAAACAAUGGGUCAGUUUAAUUGUCAAACUCACCUUAGAUUAAGAUGUCUCCAAGUUAAUCAUCUUUAAUUGUUGAUCAACAAUUUGCCAACAGGAGGAAAAGAAAUACCUCAACUUAAAUUGUUACACUAAUGAUAAUUUUGCGAUUUAAGUUAAUUAAGUGAAUCCGUUUCUUGGACAACAACAAAUAACAUUUAUUAUUAUCAUUAAUCUGAUUAACUUUAAUUCAAUAAGCAUAAUGAUUAAAUGCCACUGAUUGUGAUUAGUAAAUGAUGAUAUAUGUUGUUUAUUGGUAAAAAAAUGCUCAAAAUCAGAGGGUAUUGAUUAAGACAGAAUUAGUGAGAUUCUUGGUGAGAAUUAGCAACAAUCAGAAUGUUUAACCUGACCUGUUAAUAGUUAAUUCUAGAGACAACAACAAUUCGUGAUUAAAGCUUAAUAGUAAUUGUAAUUGUCUACAAUUUAGAUUUUUUUUCAGAUUCUUGCAAGGAAAAUAAAUCUUUCCAAUUGAGUUAUAGUGAUAAAUCAUUGAGAUUCAAUUGGUGACAAUCAUUAAGAAGAUACAAAUGAUUAAAUGUAUCAUCUUGAUUCUUAUCUUGAUCCUCUCAGGUCACUUGUUAUCUUGACCUUUACACUGACCUUUAUCAUCUCCGUGACUUGUUACAUGAAACUGACCAUUGGCUAAUCUUUAACAUACACAUACACACACCUUAACUUAACAACAAUUGAUAAUAAAUGAUACGACUAAUCAACUUUUCCUUGUUAAAAUAAUUAAUUGUUUCAUCGUUAACAAUCAAUGGUGAUCAAUUUUAACACAAUAUCAUAAUUAAAAUUUUAAAUUGAUUCUUGAUCGUUUAAUUUAUAUUCUUGAUUGUGAUCAUCA
This is a long non-coding RNA of Panonychus citri (citrus red mite), 4813 nucleotides long. RefSeq lists it as uncharacterized. The transcript has 6 exons. Lineage: Eukaryota; Metazoa; Arthropoda; Arachnida; Trombidiformes; Tetranychidae. The record is from RefSeq and is a predicted model, not a curated record.